GUACUCACUUUGGCAGCACAUGUGUAAAAACUGGAAGGAUACAGAGAUUAGCAUGACUUCUUCAAGGACAACAUGCAAAUUCAUGAAGCAUUUAAAAAAUAC
This 102-nucleotide small nuclear RNA is filed under the name Neogale vison (American mink). Lineage: Eukaryota; Metazoa; Chordata; Mammalia; Carnivora; Mustelidae. The record is from RNAcentral.